Molecule: ribosomal RNA, 253 nt
Filed under: uncultured bacterium
Lineage: Bacteria
Description: partial 16S ribosomal RNA
Rfam family: Bacterial small subunit ribosomal RNA
Source: RNAcentral
UACGUAGGUGGCAAGCGUUGUCCGGAUUUACUGGGCGUAAAGAGCGCGCAGGUGGUCCGCUGCGUCGUGCGUGAAAGACCCCGGCUCAACUGGGGAGUGUCGUGCGAUACGGGCGGACUGGAGGCCAGUAGGGGGAUGCGGAAUUCCGGGUGUAGUGGUGGAAUGCGUAGAGAUCCGGAGGAACACCAGCGGCGAAGGCGGCAUCCUGGACUGGUCCUGACACUCAGGAGCGAAAGCGUGGGGAGCGAUCCGG